This is a non-coding RNA of Rattus norvegicus (Norway rat), 682 nucleotides long. The record is from RefSeq and is a predicted model, not a curated record. Lineage: Eukaryota; Metazoa; Chordata; Mammalia; Rodentia; Muridae.
GUCAAGGCUUCCUUCCCUUAGGCCUCUCCCUAUCUGUGGUGAGCCUUCCUGCAGCGGCUGGGAGGAACUGAAAAGCGGCCUAGAGAGCAGCCAUGAAACAGCGGUCGGACACACGCUGUGCCAAAGGAAGCGUGGCGAGACCCUGCUCAGAUGGGCGUUUAGAGCAGUCAGAAUCCCAGAAUAAAAACGGUUGCAUCUUCUGUCAACAUCUAGAGUAUAUUUAGCAUGUCCUUCAACUACGGGUAUAGCAACAAGCCGCAAUUCACAACUAUUCACAAGGAUGACUUUGGCCCUGGGUAUCCCAGACUGAACCGAGGAGAGCACAGAAUGGAGCAGAAGGAUCUAUCUCUACUUCGGCAAGCUCAAGAAACGGGCGUAGAAGUACAAUUUUUUCGUUGUUGCUUUAUGAGCCAUGUUGGCAUAAUCACUGAAGGAAGAUGUGUGGCUCACGGCCAGAGAGACAGUGUGAGCAACGCUUCCAGGAUUUCGCUGGUGGAAAUUUCCACAGAUGUGUCUUCAGGGGAGGAGGUCAACUUAUUGGAUUCGUAUGGAACUACGAAAAGGGCUCUGAUUAAUUUGUUAGCUCUCUCUCUCUCUCCAUCUCUCUUUCUCUUUGUGGUGGAACCAAGGGUCCUUUGAUAUGCUCAGAACUCUGCAGAUCAGCUAAAAACGUACCAUUUUA